Molecule: ribosomal RNA, 714 nt
Filed under: uncultured bacterium
Lineage: Bacteria
Description: bacterial SSU rRNA
Rfam family: Bacterial small subunit ribosomal RNA
Source: RNAcentral
AGCGGGAAGUAGUUUACUACUUUGCCGGCGAGCGGCGGACGGGUGAGUAAUGUCUGGGAAACUGCCUGAUGGAGGGGGAUAACUACUGGAAACGGUAGCUAAUACCGCAUAACGUCUUCGGACCAAAGUGGGGGACCUUAGGGCCUCACGCCAUCGGAUGUGCCCAGAUGGGAUUAGCUAGUAGGUGGGGUAAUGGCUCACCUAGGCGACGAUCCCUAGCUGGUCUGAGAGGAUGACCAGCCACACUGGAACUGAGACACGGUCCAGACUCCUACGGGAGGCAGCAGUGGGGAAUAUUGCACAAUGGGCGCAAGCCUGAUGCAGCCAUGCCGCGUGUGUGAAGAAGGCCUUCGGGUUGUAAAGCACUUUCAGCGAGGAGGAAGGCCAAUAACUUAAUACGUUGUUGGAUUGACGUUACUCGCAGAAGAAGCACCGGCUAACUCCGUGCCAGCAGCCGCGGUAAUACGGAGGGUGCAAGCGUUAAUCGGAAUUACUGGGCGUAAAGCGCACGCAGGCGGUUUGUUAAGUCAGAUGUGAAAUCCCCGCGCUUAACGUGGGAACUGCAUUUGAAACUGGCAAGCUAGAGUCUUGUAGAGGGGGGUAGAGUUCCAGGUGUAGCGGUGAAAUGCGUAGAGAUCUGGAGGAAUACCGGUGGCGAAGGCGGCCCCCUGGACAAAGACUGACGCUCAGGUGCGAAAGCGUGGGGAGCAAACA